RNAcentral lists this ribosomal RNA (503 nucleotides) under uncultured bacterium. Its description in RNAcentral is "partial 16S ribosomal RNA". It matches the Rfam family "Bacterial small subunit ribosomal RNA", at positions 30 to 523 of the family's 1533-position model. The record is from RNAcentral.
AUUGAACGCUGGCGGCAGGCUUAACACAUGCAAGUCGAGCGGAGUGAUGGUGCUUGCACUAUCACUUAGCGGCGGACGGGUGAGUAAUGCUUAGGAAUCUGCCUAUUAGUGGGGGACAACAUCUCGAAAGGGAUGCUAAUACCGCAUACGUCCUACGGGAGAAAGCAGGGGAUCACUUGUGACCUUGCGCUAAUAGAUGAGCCUAAGUCGGAUUAGCGAGUUGGUGGGGUAGAGGCCUACCAAGGCGACGAUCUGGAGCGGGUCAGAGAGGAUGAACCGCAACACCGGGAAGGAGAAACGGCCCAGACUCCUACGGGAGGCAGCAGUGGGGAAUAUUGGACAAUGGGGGGAACCCUGAUCCAGCCAUGCCGAGUGUGUGAAGAAGGCCUUAUGGUUGUAAAGCACUUUAAGCGAGGAGGAGGCUCUUUUGGUUAAUACCCAAGAUGAGUGGACGUUACUCGCAGAAUAAGCACCGGCUAACUCUGUGCCAGCCGCCGCCGUAA